Oncorhynchus tshawytscha (Chinook salmon) is the source of this 2369-nucleotide long non-coding RNA. RefSeq lists it as uncharacterized. The record is from RefSeq and is a predicted model, not a curated record. NCBI's taxonomy places the organism in Eukaryota, Metazoa, Chordata, Actinopteri, Salmoniformes, Salmonidae. The transcript has 4 exons.
UAAGUUGGAAAAAUAGGAUGAUCGAGCAGCAGUGAGGGCUGGGUCACUGUCUUCCACCACAAGACAGUGACCCAGCUACUCCUCAGUAUUGGGACUCAUCAGUAUUGGGGUUCUGGGGCCUCUCUGGUGGCAUUGAGAAGAGUGUGAGCACUGUUUGGUUUCUGCUGCUCUCUAUCAGCACAGGGGUGUUGUACAGCAUACUGGGUCUGCUACUGUUUGGUGGAGGGGUUCAUGCCAGUAUCCUUCUCCUGUAUGUGUAUGGCCACAGUGCACUCAUCGCAGGGGAGAUCUACGGAAAGGGCUUGCUCUCACUUCUGGACAUGUCCGAUGCCAGGGCAUCAGUGCUGGAUAAGAAGAUGCCUUUCAGGCUGCUGAGGAAUAUUGGUGUCCUGUAUGUCCCUGCAUCAAUAGAGGCGAGAAGGAAGACGGUCCACCCACCAAUCAUUCCAACACCAGGCUCCUGCCCAUAUCAAGCCUAUGCUCCAGUGUCCUCUACCUCCAACCUACAGGCUACCGAGACCACACCAAAGACAUUUGAAGGCUGGGCCCACUCCUACUAUACACAGGGGAGCCCUGUUCAGCUCUCAGGUUAUUACGGACACAACCAUGGGGGGCUUGAGGCCAAGUCACGGACAUGGUCACAAGCAUGGACACAGCUGCAGCCACGGUCAUGGACAUAGUCACAAACACAGCUUUGGCCAUGGACUCAGUCAUGGCAUGCAUCUGCCUCUCAAACCAGCAGUCACUGGGCUCCAGUGGCUCAACAUCCACAUUUUCAACAUUCCCACCUCAGUCCACUGUCUGUCUGUCAGUGUCCCCCAGAGUUUCACAGUAAACAUGCCGGAGUCACUAACAGAAUCUGUGAUGGUUCAUCCAGGAGCACCUGUGUCGUCACUGACAGAUUGAUGACUUCAAUCAGUAACACCAAAACUCGCUAUAGCUCGAUUGAAAUUCAAAGGCAAUGUUCUCAAAGAUUGGAAAUGACCUUUACAUUUCAAUGGCGCUAUUUUCAGCAAUCACAAUCCUUGUAAAAAAGUCAACUUAUGGUAUAACUAAUAACGUUUUUAAAAAAUGAUGUCAGUGUGGUUAUAAGCCACUAUAGCUCUGAACUUCGGCGAUACAGAUUUAAUCGAGCCCAUAGUUUUCAUUCAAUGUGUUUUCUGUCUCAUGUUAUACAUUGAGAUGUAAUAUGCUUGGACAAGUGGUUUGAGGCAGUACUUGAAGGUCCACCCUUUCUUCACGGAUGUUUUUGAUUUGAAUACACAAGCAGGCUCUGAAUGUUCAAGGUCAAAUCAAUGCAAGAAAGCAUUGAUUGUCAGUUGAUUGUAAGACCUCCUUUUGGCUUGUGUGUUUUGUACUUUGUGUUUUUUUACCCAUACAGUAGACAAAUCUCUUGGUACUCUUGAUUUAUACAACCUAGAUUAAAACAAAGUUUUUCAAAACCCUUAGUAAAUGGACCAACCAGACCCUCAAGACUGCCAUGGGCAAGUCCCUUGAUUGGUAUCAGGAAGGGUGGGAGAACAACCUGAAGGUAAUUCUCUUUGCACACAACAGCAGCAUCCAGGCUGAGUAUGGACAGGAGCCGCAGCUGUUGACUGAGGUAAACAAUGCAAUUGUAUAUACAAUUAUUGCAUGUACUGUAGUCUUUCAAAAUUGUGAUUGACUUAGUGUUUGUCUAUUGCUAUUUUUGCAUAACGUACUUUCAGAUCACUGAAACACCACCUGAUGUGGUGGAAGUUGUCGAACCAGAUCAGAACGCCUUUGAGUACUACCUUCAGGCACAGACUGAGAAGGACGUGUGGAGGUUUUUGACCAGGUGAGACAGAACAUGGACAAGGCGCAGGAGAAACAGAAGGAGAGCUACCGGAGUGUUUACGUCUCUGUCUCCUACCCUGUUCCCUUUAACUCUGCUCCUGUUCUCCAGGAGCUAGGGGUCCUGCCCAACACCCAGACGUGGAUCCACCUGAUGUUCUCCAUUACCAACCACCCUCCAACUUUUCAUUACAUCAUCUACAGCUACUGUUGUCAUGUUAUCAUUAUCUGCUAAGAAAGUUCUUGCUCUCUCAUACUGGCCCUCUUCACUUCCCUUUGGCCAAAGAAGACCUAAGACCCCAAUGCCAGACACUGCCCUGCGGCCGGUGCUGUCCUUCGGAUGAGACUGUGCACACAGAGGUCCUAUCUCUCUGUGGUCACUAAACAUCUCAUGGCACUUAUGACAUGAGUAGGGGUGUUGACCCUGCAUCUCCUGGCUAUAUUUCCAAGCCUGAUAACUACACGCUAUGUAAAUCCAACCCAUUAUCAUACGCUACCCUAGUAGGCUGUAUGGGAACCAAUAUAAUUAUUGGGUCUUUUUUAUUUUUUAAGAAUGG